This is a long non-coding RNA of Colias croceus (clouded yellow), 1261 nucleotides long. RefSeq lists it as uncharacterized. The transcript has 4 exons. NCBI's taxonomy places the organism in Eukaryota, Metazoa, Arthropoda, Insecta, Lepidoptera, Pieridae. The record is from RefSeq and is a predicted model, not a curated record.
UGUUAAAUUAAAUAUGAGUAUUGUGUUAAAUUUGUGAUGGAAUGGUUACCAUUAAAUUUUGUUUAAUGUUACUAGCCAAGAUGAUUUGUACCUAUUAAUGGGUAUAGAAUAUCAUAAAUUAUAAUUAGAUAAAUAAUUGUAAUGUAAUGGUUUGCAUUAAUGGAUAGAUAUAGAUUAUUCUACACUGAUUCAUUCUUUAGCUAAACUAACAGUAAUGAAAGUACUUUAUUGCUUAAUUUGUCUAUAUGGUUCAUUUGUAAAAUUAAUAUCGUUCGUCAGCAAUAUAGUUUGUUAUACUUAUAAAUCUUAUUGAAAGGGGAAGAUGUUGUAUGUAGGUAAUAUUGAAUAUUAAUGAUAAUGUGGGUACUUAGAGAAUUGGAGAUACUUUAUAAAAAUGUAAUGUCAUUUUGGUCAUUAUAAUAAAGAGUUAAAACACAACAAUAACAAAUGGCUAAUUACAGGUUUUUUAUCCCGUGUUUUCAAGGAAAAGAGCUUAAAAUACUUUGCAGCUAUCGGUAUGUAUAUAAACGGAAAAUUUGUAUCUUGGAUGGAUACAGCCUUGAUCGCCUUAACAAUGACGUCACGCUACAAAGGCAGGAAAGGGAAAUACGCAACUACGUGAGAAGAAACAUAUCAAAACAAGUAGCAUAUAAAGGCUUAAAUAAUUAGCUUCCCGAUAGGUAUCAUUUUCUAAAACAUCUAUGCAUCAGACUUUACAAAUGAACAUGGCUUAAAAUAGGGUUCCGCCGUUAUUUUCUAAAUUUAAAACAUCGAUACGCUGUGUCUCGAAUCAGUUCAGUGAUCCCGAGGUUUUAAGGGGUUGUCGUGAUGUGAUCUGGACAAUCAAAACUUCUUACGGACUGUCAGUGGUAGCUACAAGAUAAUAUUGAUUCUACAUAAUAUAUUGGGUGAAGCAUUAUAACGGUGUUUAAGACGUGGAGUUCAAGAACUUCAAGAUUUCAUCAACAGUCAGUCUGCACACGCCGAAUUUAUUAGUAUAUUUGAAUUAGAAAUUUGAUUUUGAACUUAUAAGAUUUCAAAGUCUCUGUUUCAAAAUAUUAUUAUAAAUAUAUAAAUAAUUUAAAAUGAGUUCGUCAAUAAUUAAUAUAACAUUGUAAUAUUGCUGCGUGUAUUGUCCACUCAAAAUGUAUUAAUGAGGAAUUGAUACUGUCAUUUUUGUUCUGUUAUUUUGUUUGUAAAUAAAGUAUUACAUAAAGUUAUUUGAAAGCAUGUAUGAAGAUGAAAACUAGUUAAAAAUUGA